GUGGGGAAUUUUGGACAAUGGGCGAAAGCCUGAUCCAGCAACGCCGCGUGAGUGAUGAAGGCCUUCGGGUCGUAAAGCUCUGUCGGGAGGAACGAAGAACGGAAGUCGAACAGGCUUCCGGGUGACGGUACCUUCAAAGGAAGCACCGGCUAACUCUGUGCCAGCAGCCGCGGUAAGACAGAGGGUGCAAGCGUUGUUCGGAAUUACUGGGCGUAAAGGGCGUGUAGGCGGUGAGGUAUGUCCGGUGUGAAAGCCCUCGGCUUAACUGAGGAAGCGCAUCGGAAACUGCUUCGCUGGAGUGCGGUAGAGGGUGGCGGAAUUCCCGGUGUAGAGGUGAAAUUCGUAGAUACCGGGAGGAACACCAGAGGCGAAGGCGGCCACCUGGCCCGUAACUGACGCUGAGACGCGAAAGCGUGGGUAGCAAACAGGAUUAGAAACCCGGGUAGUCC
This 449-nucleotide ribosomal RNA is filed under the name uncultured bacterium. Its description in RNAcentral is "bacterial SSU rRNA". It matches the Rfam family "Bacterial small subunit ribosomal RNA", at positions 354 to 796 of the family's 1533-position model. The record is from RNAcentral.